RNAcentral lists this ribosomal RNA (253 nucleotides) under uncultured bacterium. RNAcentral describes it as "partial 16S ribosomal RNA". It matches the Rfam family "Bacterial small subunit ribosomal RNA", at positions 524 to 776 of the family's 1533-position model. The record is from RNAcentral.
UACAGAGGGGGCAAGCGUUGUUCGGAAUUACUGGGCGUAAAGGGCGCGUAGGCGGCCGCCUAAGUCAGACGUGAAAUCCCUCGGCUCAACCGGGGAACUGCGUCUGAUACUGGGUGGCUUGAAUUCGGGAGAGGGAUGCGGAAUUCCAGGUGUAGCGGUGAAAUGCGUAGAUAUCUGGAGGAACACCGGUGGCGAAGGCGGCAUCCUGGACCGACAUUGACGCUGAGGCGCGAAAGCCAGGGGAGCAAACGGG